AGAGUUUGAUCAUGGCUCAGAAUGAACGCUGGCGGCGUGCUUAACACAUGCAAGUCGUACGAGAAAGCCGAUUUUUCGGAAUUGGCGAGUAAAGUGGCGCACGGGUGAGUAACGCGUGAGUGACCUACCCCUGUAUCCGGGAUAACACUUCGAAAGGGGUGCUAAUACCGGAUACGUCCCCUUCGGGGGAGAAAGCCGGCCUCUCGAAGAAGCUGGUGUACAGGGAUGGGCUCGCGUCCUAUCAGCUGGUUGGUAGGGUAACGGCCUACCAAGGCGACGACGGGUAGCUGGUCUGAGAGGAUGAUCAGCCACACUGGCACUGGAACACGGGCCAGACUCCUACGGGAGGCAGCAGUGAGGAAUUUUGCGCAAUGGGGGAAACCCUGACGCAGCAACGCCGCGUGGGUGAAGAAGGCCUUCGGGUCGUAAAGCCCUGUCAGGUGGGAAGAAUGACUUUGGGGCGCACAGCCCCUAGGUGUGACGGUACCACCAAAGGAAGCACCGGCUAACUCCGUGCCAGCAGCCGCGGUAAUACGGAGGGUGCGAGCGUUAUUCGGAAUUACUGGGCGUAAAGAACGCGUAGGCGGUUCGGCAAGUCUGGUGUGAAAGCCCGGGGCUCAACCCCGGAAGUGCAUUGGAAACGGUCGGACUUGAGUACCGGAGAGGAAGGGGGAAUUCCCGGUGUAGCGGUGAAAUGCGUAGAUAUCGGGAGGAAUACCAGUGGCGAAGGCGCCCUUCUGGACGGUAACUGACGCUGAGGCGUGAAAGCGUGGGGAGCAAACAGGAUUAGAUACCCUGGUAGUCCACGCCGUAAACGAUGAGCACUAGGUGUAGCGGGUAUUGACCCCUGCUGUGCCGUAGCUAACGCGAUAAGUGCUCCGCCUGGGG
This 888-nucleotide ribosomal RNA is filed under the name uncultured bacterium. Its description in RNAcentral is "bacterial SSU rRNA". It matches the Rfam family "Bacterial small subunit ribosomal RNA", at positions 8 to 878 of the family's 1533-position model. The record is from RNAcentral.